This 440-nucleotide ribosomal RNA is filed under the name uncultured bacterium. RNAcentral describes it as "partial 16S ribosomal RNA". It matches the Rfam family "Bacterial small subunit ribosomal RNA", at positions 338 to 795 of the family's 1533-position model. The record is from RNAcentral.
CCUACGGGUGGCAGCAGUGGGGAAUAUUGCACAAUGGGGGAAACCCUGAUGCAGCGACGCCGCUUCAGUGAAGAAGUAUUUCGGUAUGUAAAGCUCUAUCAGCAGGGACGAAAAUGACGGUACCUGAGUAAGAAGCCCCGGCUAACUACGUGCCAGCAGCCGCGGUAAUACGUAGGGGGCAAGCGUUAUCCGGAUUUACUGGGUGUAAAGGGAGCGUAGACGGCGAUACAAGUCUGAAGUGAAAGCCCGGGGCUCAACCACGGGACUGCUUUGGAAACUGUGUUGCUGGAGUGCUGGAGAGGUAAGCGGAAUUCCGAGUGUAGCGGUGAAAUGCGUAGAUAUUAGGAAGAACACCAGUGGCGAAGGCGGCUUGCUGGACAGUAACUGACGUUGAGGCUCGAAAGCGUGGGGAGCAAACAGGAUUAGAUACCCCUGUAGUC